RNAcentral lists this small RNA (399 nucleotides) under Oryza sativa Japonica Group (Japanese rice). RNAcentral's name for it is "sRNA Os03g0781501". Lineage: Eukaryota; Viridiplantae; Streptophyta; Magnoliopsida; Poales; Poaceae. The record is from RNAcentral.
AUCUCACCCGGUUCGCCGCCUCCACAAAUCCGCCGCCGCCGACGUCGAGAGAGAAGGGACAGAGAGCGAGUGCUUCGCCGUCCCCGCCGCCGCGAUGAGGGCCAAGUGGAAGAAGAAGAGAAUGAGGAGGCUCAAGAGGAAGCGCCGAAAGAUGAGGCAGAGAUCCAAGUAGUCGUUAUCAGUAGUGUGGAUGUCUUCUUACAUCAUGUUGACCGGUGCAUUUGGAUUGAUGGUGCCUUCGGAUUCUUGAUGUUCCAGUUAUUGGUGUAGGAAUGUGAAACCUUUUCUGGUUUUGGUUAAUUCUAGCUGUUGAAAUGUCUCUGGUUAUGUUCCUAGACUGGAGUAUUAUGUAAUGUGAUGACCAUAAUUCGCUUUAUGAAAGUUUAUGAGAUUUGAAGU